GUGAGGAAUAUUGGUCAAUGGGCGGGAGCCUGAACCAGCCAAGUCGCGUGAAGGAAGAAGGAUCUAUGGUUCGUAAACUUCUUUUGCAGGGGAAUAAAGUGCAGGACGUGUCCUGUUUUGUAUGUACCCUGAGAAUAAGGAUCGGCUAACUCCGUGCCAGCAGCCGCGGUAAUACGGAGGAUCCGAGCGUUAUCCGGAUUUAUUGGGUUUAAAGGGUGCGUAGGUGGUUUGAUAAGUCAGCGGUGAAAGUUUGCAGCUUAACUGUAAAAAUGCCGUUGAACCUGUCGGACUUGAGUGUAAAUGAGGUAGGCGGAAUGCGUGGUGUAGCGGUGAAAUGCAUAGAUAUCACGCAGAACUCCGAUUGCGAAGGCAGCUUACUAAGCUACAACUGACACUGAAGCACGAAAGCGUGGGGAUCAAACAGGAUUAGAUACCCCAGUAGUCC
Molecule: ribosomal RNA, 445 nt
Filed under: uncultured bacterium
Lineage: Bacteria
Description: partial 16S ribosomal RNA
Rfam family: Bacterial small subunit ribosomal RNA
Source: RNAcentral